GACGAACGCGGCGGCGUGCCUAAUACAUGCAAGUCGAACGCACGAAGUUGAAGAGCUUGCUCUUUAACCAAGUGAGUGGCGGACGGGUGAGUAACACGUGGGUAACCUGCCCAUUAGAGGGGGAUAACAUUCGGAAACGGAUGCUAAUACCGCAUAGUUUCAGGAAUCGCAUGAUUCUUGAAGGAAAGGUGGCUUCGGCUACCACUAAUGGAUGGACCCGCGGCGUAUUAGCUAGUUGGUGAGGUAAUGGCUCACCAAGGCAAUGAUACGUAGCCGACCUGAGAGGGUGAUCGGCCACACUGGGACUGAGACACGGCCCAGACUCCUACGGGAGGCAGCAGUAGGGAAUCUUCCGCAAUGGACGAAAGUCUGACGGAGCAACGCCGCGUGAGUGAAGAAGGUUUUCGGAUCGUAAAACUCUGUUGUUAAAGAAGAACAAGGAUGAGAGUAACUGCUCAUCCCCUGACGGUAUUUAACCAGAAAGCCACGGCUAACUACGUGCCAGCAGCCGCGGUAAUACGUAGGUGGCAAGCGUUGUCCGGAUUUAUUGGGCGUAAAGCGAGCGCAGGCGGUUCUUUAAGUCUGAUGUGAAAGCCCCCGGCUCAACCGGGGAGGGUCAUUGGAAACUGGAGAACUUGAGUGCAGAAGAGGAGAGUGGAAUUCCACGUGUAGCGGUGAAAUGCGUAGAUAUGUGGAGGAACACCAGUGGCGAAGGCGACUCUCUGGUCUGUAACUGACGCUGAGGCUCGAAAGCGUGGGGAGCAAACAGG
RNAcentral lists this ribosomal RNA (770 nucleotides) under uncultured Vagococcus sp. RNAcentral's name for it is "bacterial SSU rRNA". It matches the Rfam family "Bacterial small subunit ribosomal RNA", at positions 28 to 776 of the family's 1533-position model. Lineage: Bacteria; Bacillati; Bacillota; Bacilli; Lactobacillales; Enterococcaceae. The record is from RNAcentral.